Molecule: regulatory RNA element, 134 nt
Rfam family: Ribosomal protein L20 leader
About the family: This family is a putative r-protein leader autoregulatory structure found in B. subtilis and other low-GC Gram-positive bacteria. It is located in the 5' untranslated regions of mRNAs encoding initiation factor 3 followed by ribosomal proteins L35 and L20 (infC-rpmI-rplT).
Source: Rfam
GAGUAAAAGAAGAAGCACCCGCUUCUCACCUGAUUGACGCAGUAUGCUGUCGAUAGGUCAUGAUUUGAUUAUUUGGAUUUAUUCUACUUAGUCUAUCAGUGUGGGUGUUAUUGCAUCCGCACUUUUUUGUUUGU